This 497-nucleotide ribosomal RNA is filed under the name uncultured bacterium. Its description in RNAcentral is "partial 16S ribosomal RNA". It matches the Rfam family "Bacterial small subunit ribosomal RNA", at positions 28 to 507 of the family's 1533-position model. The record is from RNAcentral.
GAUGAACGCUGGCGGCGUGCCUAAUACAUGCAAGUCGAGCGAACAGAUGAGGAGCUUGCUCCUCUGACGUUAGCGGCGGACGGGUGAGUAACACGUGGAUAACCUACCUAUAAGACUGGGAUAACUUCGGGAAACCGGAGCUAAUACCGGAAAAUAUAUUGAACCGCAUGGUUCAAUAGUGAAAGACGGUUUUGCUGUCACUUCUAGAUGGAUCCGCGCCGCUGUAGCUAGUUGGUAAGGUAACGGCUUACCAAGGCAACGAUGCGUAGCCGACCUGAGAGGGGGAUCGGCCACACUGGAACUGAGACACGGUCCAGACUCCUACGGGAGGCAGCAGUAGGGAAUCUUCCGCAAUGGGCGAAAGCUUGACGGAGCAACGCCGCGUGAGUGAUGAAGGUCUUCGGAUCGUAAAACUCUGUUAUUAGGGAAGAACAAAUGUGUAAGUAACUAUGCACGUCUUGACGGUACCUAAUCAGAAAGCCACGGCUAACUACGUG